CACACACGGGCUUGGGCUGGUAUCGGGAGAAAUCCGGUACGGCCUCCGGUGGCGGGCAACCGCCUCAUCCCGUGGAGGUUCAACCGGAAAAGGAAAAUUA
Paramesorhizobium deserti is the source of this 100-nucleotide non-coding RNA. The record is from Rfam. NCBI's taxonomy places the organism in Bacteria, Pseudomonadati, Pseudomonadota, Alphaproteobacteria, Hyphomicrobiales, Phyllobacteriaceae.